Non-coding RNA from Danionella cerebrum, 87 nucleotides. The record is from the annotation of a GenBank genome assembly. NCBI's taxonomy places the organism in Eukaryota, Metazoa, Chordata, Actinopteri, Cypriniformes, Danionidae.
CUUUCUGAUGCACAGUUGGUAAAGCGGAGGACUGUAGAACGUAAAGUGGAAAUCCUUAGGUCACUGGUUCGACUCCAGCUUGAAGGA